AUUGAACGCUGGCGGCAGGCUUAACACAUGCAAGUCGAGCGGAGAUGAGGUGCUUGCACCUUAUCUUAGCGGCGGACGGGUGAGUAAUGCUUAGGAAUCUGCCUAUUAGUGGGGGACAACAUUCCGAAAGGAAUGCUAAUACCGCAUACGUCCUACGGGAGAAAGCAGGGGAUCUUCGGACCUUGCGCUAAUAGAUGAGCCUAAGUCGGAUUAGCUAGUUGGUGGGGUAAAGGCCUACCAAGGCGACGAUCUGUAGCGGGUCUGAGAGGAUGAUCCGCCACACUGGGACUGAGACACUGCCCAGACUCCUACGGGAGGCAGCAGUGGGGAAUAUUGGACAAUGGGGGAACCCUGAUCCAGCCAUGCCGCGUGCGUGAAGAAGGCCUUAUGGUUGUAAAGCACUUUAAGCGAGGAGGAGGCUACUGAGACUAAUACUCUUGGAUAGUGGACGUUACUCGCAGAAUAAGCACCGGCUAACUCUGUGCCAGCAGCCGCAGUAA
This 500-nucleotide ribosomal RNA is filed under the name uncultured bacterium. Its description in RNAcentral is "partial 16S ribosomal RNA". It matches the Rfam family "Bacterial small subunit ribosomal RNA", at positions 30 to 523 of the family's 1533-position model. The record is from RNAcentral.